GUGCUAGCUUCGGCAGCACAUAUACUAAAAUUGGAACGAUGCAGAGAAAAUUAGCAUGGCCCCUGCGGAAGGAUGACACGCAAAAUCGUGAAGCGUUCUUAUUUUUU
This 107-nucleotide small nuclear RNA is filed under the name Hofstenia miamia. The record is from RNAcentral. Lineage: Eukaryota; Metazoa; Xenacoelomorpha; Acoela; Hofsteniidae.